This 215-nucleotide ribosomal RNA is filed under the name Pasteurella multocida subsp. multocida. RNAcentral's name for it is "partial 23S ribosomal RNA". It matches the Rfam family "Bacterial large subunit ribosomal RNA", at positions 2724 to 2925 of the family's 2925-position model. The record is from RNAcentral. Lineage: Bacteria; Pseudomonadati; Pseudomonadota; Gammaproteobacteria; Pasteurellales; Pasteurellaceae.
UCUCGCCAGAGGCAUUGCUGGGUAGCUAAAUGCGGAAGAGAUAAGUGCUGAAAGCAUCUAAGCACGAAACUUGCCAAGAGAUGAGUCAUCCCUGACUUUAAGUCAGUAAGGGUUGUUGUAGACUACGACGUAGAUAGGUUGGGUGUGUAAGUGUAGUGAUACAUUGAGCUAACCAAUACUAAUUGCCCGAGAGGCUUAACCAUACAACGCUCAAG